CGAUGGAACAAUGUAGGCAAGGGAAG
This 26-nucleotide non-coding RNA is filed under the name Arabidopsis thaliana (thale cress). RNAcentral also lists the same sequence under 1 other name. Lineage: Eukaryota; Viridiplantae; Streptophyta; Magnoliopsida; Brassicales; Brassicaceae. The record is from RNAcentral.